RNAcentral lists this ribosomal RNA (857 nucleotides) under uncultured bacterium. RNAcentral's name for it is "bacterial SSU rRNA". It matches the Rfam family "Bacterial small subunit ribosomal RNA", at positions 524 to 1381 of the family's 1533-position model. The record is from RNAcentral.
UACGUAGGGGGCAAGCGUUGUCCGGAAUGACUGGGCGUAAAGCGCGCGCAGGCGGUCUUUUAAGUCUGAGGUGAAAGGCUGGGGCCCAACCCUGGCAUCGCCUUGGAAACGGGAAGACUUGAGGACUGGAGAGGCAAGGGGAAUUCCACGUGUAGCGGUGAAAUGCGUAGAGAUGUGGAGGAAUACCAGUGGCGAAGGCGCCUUGCUGGACAGUGCCUGACGCUGAGGCGCGAAGGCGUGGGGAGCAAACAGGAUUAGAUACCCUGGUAGUCCACGCGGUAAACGAUGAGUGCUAGGUGUCGGAGGGUACCACCUCCGGUGCCGAAGGAAACCCAAUAAGCACUCCGCCUGGGGAGUACGGUCGCAAGACUGAAACUCAAAGGAAUUGACGGGGGCCCGCACAAGCAGUGGAGCAUGUGGUUUAAUUCGAAGCAACGCGAAGAACCUUACCAGGACUUGACAUCCCCCUGACGGGAGUAGAGAUAUUCCGUCCCUUCGGGGCAGGGGAGACAGGUGGUGCAUGGUUGUCGUCAGCUCGUGUCGUGAGAUGUUGGGUUAAGUCCCGCAACGAGCGCAACCCUUGAUCAGUGUUACCAGCACGUAAAGGUGGGGACUCACUGAUGACUGCCGGUGAUAAACCGGAGGAAGGCGGGGAUGACGUCAAAUCAUCAUGCCCCUUAUGUCCUGGGCCACACACGUGCUACAAUGGGCGGUACAACGGGAAGCAAGAGAGCGAUCUGGAGCGAAACCCUAAAAGCCGUUCGUAGUUCGGAUUGCAGGCUGCAACCCGCCUGCAUGAAGCCGGAAUUGCUAGUGAUCGCGGAUCAGCAUGCCGCGGUGAAUCCGUUCCCGGGCCU